UUGGAGGGCAAGUCUGGUGCCAGCAGCCGCGGUAAUUCCAGCUCCAAUAGCGUAUAUUAAAGUUGUUGCAGUUAAAAAGCUCGUAGUUGAAUUUCGAGACCGGUUUACUGGUCGUGCUUUUGUACGUACUGGUAUUAUUGGUUUCUCCUUUCUGACGAAUCUUAAUGCCAUUAAUUUGGUGUUUUGGGGAAUCAGGACUGUUACUUUGAAAAAAUUAGAGUGUUUAAAGCAGGCUCACGCUUGAAUACAUUAGCAUGGAAUAACGAAAUAGGACGUUUGAUUUUAUUUUGUUGGUUUCUAGGAUCGACGUAAUGAUUAAUAGGGAUAGUUGGGGGCAUUAGUAUUCAAUUGUCAGAGGUGAGAUUCUUGGAUUUAUUGAAGACUAACUACUGCGAAAGCAUUUGCCAAGGAUGUUUUCAUUAAUCAAGAACGAAAGUUAGGGGAUCGAAGACGAUCAGAUACCGUCGUAGUCUUAACCAUAAACUAUGCCGACUAGGGAUCGGAUGAUGUUAAUUUUUUAAUGACUCAUUCGGCGCCUUACGGGAAAC
Molecule: ribosomal RNA, 548 nt
Filed under: uncultured Glomus
Lineage: Eukaryota; Fungi; Glomeromycota; Glomeromycetes; Glomerales; Glomeraceae
Description: SSU rRNA
Rfam family: Eukaryotic small subunit ribosomal RNA
Source: RNAcentral